RNAcentral lists this long non-coding RNA (507 nucleotides) under Lonchura striata (white-rumped munia). RNAcentral describes it as "domestica (Bengalese finch) lncRNA (ENSLSDG00000014806.1)". Lineage: Eukaryota; Metazoa; Chordata; Aves; Passeriformes; Estrildidae. The record is from RNAcentral.
UGGGGGCGGUGCCGGGGGAGGCUCCCGUCCCAGUGCCGGCCCCGCCGGUAACUCCGCCUGCCGUAUUUAUGGGAAAACAAGCAGCGGCAGAGCGUUGGGCCGUGUCGAGCCGUGCCGUGCCGUGCCGUGCAUCGCUGUGCCGUGCCGUGCUGGAUCGGGCGGAGCUGGGCCAUGGUCCCCUGGGCGGUGGCAUCCCCAGCCUAGCGCGGCGGCGGCGGCGGCGGCGGCUGGGGGAUGCGGCGAGAGCCGCCAGAGCGGCUGGCGCAGAGCAGCCCUGGGAUGGAGCCACCACAGGCCCCUUGGCCACCUCAGCCCACCCACCCCCUCACUGCUGCUGCUGGACCAGCCCAUCACAUGGACAGACACCACAAGGCCACUGGAGUCACCUCAGCUCUGGCAUCUGCACCCCCCCAGCUUUGGGGCAGGUAAUUAGGAGGAACCCAAGUCCCCUCCCCAUGUCUGCAUAGUCAAUGCUUCUUGCUAAAUAAAAUCAAUUCUUUUUCUCCA